GUAGGGAAUCUUCCACAAUGGACGAAAGUCUGAUGGAGCAAUGCCGCGUGAGUGAAGAAGGUCUUCGGAUCGUAAAACUCUGUUGUUAGAGAAGAACGUGCAUGAUAGUAACUGAUCAUGUAAUGACGGUAUCUAACCAGAAAGCCACGGCUAACUACGUGCCAGCAGCCGCGGUAAUACAUAGGUGGCAAGCGUUGUCCGGAUUUAUUGGGCGUAAAGGGAACGCAGGCGGUUUUUUAAGUCUGAUGUGAAAGCCUUCGGCUUAACCGAAGAAUAGCAUUGGAAACUGGAAGACUUGAGUGCAGAAGAGGAGAGUGGAAUUCCAUGUGUAGCGGUGAAAUGCGUAGAUAUAUGGAGGAACACCAGUGGCGAAAGCGGCUCUCUGGUCUGUAACUGACGCUGAGGUUCGAAAGCGUGGGUAGCAAACAGGAUUAGAUACCCUUGUAGUCC
Molecule: ribosomal RNA, 450 nt
Filed under: uncultured bacterium
Lineage: Bacteria
Description: partial 16S ribosomal RNA
Rfam family: Bacterial small subunit ribosomal RNA
Source: RNAcentral